This 497-nucleotide ribosomal RNA is filed under the name uncultured bacterium. Its description in RNAcentral is "partial 16S ribosomal RNA". It matches the Rfam family "Bacterial small subunit ribosomal RNA", at positions 28 to 507 of the family's 1533-position model. The record is from RNAcentral.
GAUGAACGCUGGCGGCGUGCCUAAUACAUGCAAGUCGAGCGAACGGACGAGAAGCUUGCUUCUCUGAUGUUAGCGGCGGACGGGUGAGUAACACGUGGAUAACCUACCUAUAAGACUGGGAUAACUUCGGGAAACCGGAGCUAAUACCGGAUAAUAUUUUGAACCGCAUGGUUUAAAAGUGAAAGACGGUCCUGCUGUCACUUAUAGAUGGAUCCGCGCUGCAUUAGCUAGUUGGUAAGGUAACGGCUUACCAAGGCAACGAUGCAUAGCCGACCUGAGAGGGUGAUCGGCCACACUGGAACUGAGACACGGUCCAGACUCCUACGGGAGGCAGCAGUAGGGAAUCUUCCGCAAUGGGCGAAAGCCUGACGGAGCAACGCCGCGUGAGUGAUGAAGGUCUUCGGAUCGUAAAACUCUGUUAUUAGGGAAGAACAUAUGUGUAAGUAACUGUGCACAUCUUGACGGUACCUAAUCAGAAAGCCACGGCUAACUACGUG